GCAUCACCAGCACCAAUGUUUCUUGGUUGAUCAAAAUUAGGUGGGUCUUGAACAUCAACUGGUAUGUUCUGUUGAUUCAUAGCAGCUUGUCUGUUCUGAUCACAGGCUGCUUUUGCUUUGGUUUCUUGUAACUCACGAGCUAUUUUGUCAAUUCUAUCUCUGAAUGGUAAUAGGUGCACAGAACCUUUGGAUCGAGUUUGCAUGCACAAAGAUUAGUACCUGUACCACAAAAACGAGCAGACGAAAAUAUGAGUUAGUAACUUGAUAAAUGUAAAAGAACUUGAUCUUAAAAGUUUAUGAUAUCUUGAAUGUAACAAUGCAACAAUGAAUUGACAACGACGCCAAAUUGAUAAGCUGGUUUUUCAGGUCUACUUAUGUGCUGAAGAGUGUGAUUUCAGUUCAAUUCCCCUAAAACACAAACAUGUCGAUGCAGUUAUAGAAGGUGUCAAUCCAGUCCACUGUAUUGCUAGCAAUCAAGAUGUGUACAGAAACAACUAAGUCAAGCCAGAUUAUAAUGAUGAUGGGUUUCUACUAAUAAUCCUAGGUCAGGAUUCAAACAAGUAAAAAUGAGAACUUUAGAGCCCUACUCGAUCACUGGAUCGAGUAGAACCAACAGGUGACAAAAUUAAGAAACCUAAAUGCAAUCAACAGGGGAUACAAAUAGGGGAUACAAAUAACAGGUAAAUAAAAGUGUAAUCAACAGGGGAUAUAAAUAAAUCUAAUAGAAUUUCUAAGGAUGGAUCCAUUGAUAAGGGCAACUCUAGGGUUUAUCAAAUGGCUAAUAGGCGAAAGAUAGAUACCCAUGACGAUAGAUUCAAAAACUGGGUCAAUCCACUGCCGUGACAGAGACCCCCAUAACUCUACCACUUCCUAAUCUCAGCUCUCGUUGAUGAAACAUAGCAGAGAAGGGUUUAAGAAACAAUCUACCAAAGCCAAUAGGCAGACAAGCCAAUCCCUUGGUCGAGUCUACAAAUCUCUGGAAUUCGUAGGUAAGAUAUCCAUUUGAACGUCUUUUGGACGCUGGACGUCUAUGAUCGAAUCUCCACAUUAGCCGGCGAAAACCGCAUAGGGGCCAAGCGAAUCCAGAAGGGUAUAAAUCUAAACACUAACCACCUAACUAACCUAGAGAUUACCCUAAUCUAAUCCAUCCUCAAGAACCCUAAUCACUACUCAUGCAACAUUCUCAAGAACACAAACCAAGAAAUUACUAAAAUCAUACCAAAAUAUAGAUCUAAACAAGCUAAACAACUUUACUUAAACAAUGAAAUGCAAAAACGAAAUAGAUUAAGAGUAAUUAAAGUUUCAAGAUUCAUAAACACAAAGAAAAACUGAAAGAUAAAACAUAGAUCUUUUGGACAAACCCCAAAACGAUCUAUUUAUACUAAAAUGUUGGAAACCCUAGAUUCACUAGAAGACAAGAGACUUGAGGCGCUUUGGGCGAAUGCUCGAUCUUGGGGAUCGAGUAAAGAGGGUGCUGCAAAGUUUGCGCCUUUUUGUCUAUGCUCCGAGUGAUCAAUUGGUCGAGUAGAUGCUUUAUCCUCUCCUAUCCAUAUGCUCAGAUGUCUGGUUGAGUGGGGAAUGAGGAGGAUCCGAAGACGCUUUGAUAGCUCAACAAAUCUUGUAGAGAUGGUCACCCUUGGUCGAGUAAAUGGAUCGAGUAGUGGAUCGAGUAGGAGGGGCGAGUAGAUUAGUCUGCUGCUUUCUUCUGAGGUUGGUCGAUCGAGUAAGAGGGUCAAGUAAACUGCAACAUCCUUUGUAGCAUCCUGGAUCGAGUAAAGAGGUCGAGUAGAAUGAUGCCUCUUCUGUAGCUGCCCAGAUUGAGUGAAUGGAUCGAGUAGAGUCCUUUUAAGCUCCUUUUGCACCUGAAAACAUACCAAAACAUGCAAUGCGAAUGCCAGAUGAUCCUAGAUGCCUAAGUAUGCAAAACAAGCUAAAAUGGUGCAAAAUUAUAUGAUACAAUGAGCAAAUGCAAAGCUAAAUCAUGAUAAACAUACACCUAAAAUGAGUAAAAUACAGUGUUAUCAAAAGACAAGAGAGAACCAGUGUAUAUAUAGUCCUCUAACAACGUUUAGGUUCUUGACUAUUUAGUUAUAUUUAUAAGGAGGUCAACCGGUGUAUUAUAGUCCUCUAGUGACGUUUGGGUUCUUUGAUUACAGCGAAGUUUGGGUAUGACAAGUCAACCACCACGAUAGCAUAACUCAGCCGUAACAUCGAAUAAUCUACUAUAUGUCAGUCGUUAUGUUAAAAUAAUUCAGCCAUCACACGAUUUGUGCGAUGACAAGUCAGCCACCACCUUAGAAAUAACUCAGUUAAACAUCGAAUUAAACUACGAUAACUCAGCCGUCACGAUAUCAGAACUCAGCCAUAGCACGAUUUGAGCGAUGAUAAGUCAGCCCUUACGUUAGCAUAACUCAGCCGUAACACGAAUUGAGCGAUGAUAAGUCAGCCAUUACAUCGAUUUAACCAAUAA
This 2470-nucleotide small RNA is filed under the name Arabidopsis thaliana (thale cress). Its description in RNAcentral is "ATSL032900". Lineage: Eukaryota; Viridiplantae; Streptophyta; Magnoliopsida; Brassicales; Brassicaceae. The record is from RNAcentral.